AUGUGGGUGGGGGAGACGAGAGGCUUAGAGAAGGUGGGAAGGCCUGUUGGCCAGCAGAUCAAACUAUUUCUCAUGAUACUGUGGUCUCAUCUGAACAUAGUUCUAGGUUUGAUCACAGAGAAGNCAUCUCUAGCAGUCAGAGAAAUGCAAAUCAAAACCACCCUAAGAUACCAUCUCACUCCAGUAAGAUUGGCAGCCAUUAUGAAGUCAAACAACAACAAGUGCUGGCGAGGAUGUGGGGAAAAGGGUACACUUGUACAUUGCUGGUGGGACUGCAAAUUGGUGCGGCCAAUUUGGAAAGCAGUAUGGAGAUUCCUGGGAAAGCUGGGAAUGGAACCACCAUUGACCCAGCUAUUGCCCUUCUUGGACUAUUCCCUGAAGACCUUAAAAGAGCGUACUACAGGGACACUGCUACAUCGAUGUUCAUAGCAGCACAAUUCACAAUAGCUAGACUGUGGAACCAACCUAGAUGCCCUUCAAUAGAUGAAUGGAUAAAAAAAAAUGUGGCAUUUAUACACAAUGGAGUAUUACUCUGCACUAAAAAAUGACAAAAUCAUGGAAUUUGCAGGGAAAUGGAUGGCACUAGAGCAGAUUAUGCUAAGUGAAGCUAGCCAAUCCCUAAAAAAACAAAUGCCAAAUGUCAUCUUUGAUAUAAGGAGAGCAACUAAGAACAGAAUAGGGAGGAAGAGCAUGAGAAGAAGAUCACCAUUAAACAGGGUCGAGAGGGGGGAGGGAAAGGGAGAGAGAAGGGAAAUUGCAUGGUAAAGGAAGGAGACCCUCAUUGUUAUACAAAAUUACAUAUAAGAGGAAGUGAGGGGAAAGGGGAAAAAAACAAGAGAGAGAAAUGAAUUACAGUAGAUGGGGUAGAGAGAGA
Molecule: long non-coding RNA, 874 nt
Filed under: Marmota monax (woodchuck)
Lineage: Eukaryota; Metazoa; Chordata; Mammalia; Rodentia; Sciuridae
Source: RNAcentral